UAUCUCUUCCUUCUUCCUCCCACCAUGAGUCCAUGAAGCCACCUCCAGAUCCGUCGCCACCGGUGGCCGAUUUCACCGCAGGUUAGUGCAAACGGACUAUCCGCGCUUCUCUGCUUAACCUUUCUCCCUUUACACACACCCCCACCCCCACCCCCUCGAAGAUCUGGUCUCUGUUUGUGCAUAAUUUAAAACCACUAACAUCGAUCGCGUCAUCGCCACCAGCUCCCUCGCGCGGCCGUGCUUGCCCCAUGUUAACCCCGGUCAAGUUUCACCCGAGUAGACGGCGAGCCACCGCGUGUGGAAGGCAGCGAGGCACGUGUACCGUGCUGCUUGUGCUCGGACGGCGCGUAGUAAAUUCUCCUGGCGCCAGACUGACAAAGAUGACGCUGCGUGGUCUUCCGAUCCCGGUGGGGACUGGGGAGAUCAGAGCCGUCCGUUGGUUGCGUCCGCGCCCAUAUAUGCCCAUGGAUGGCAGGGCUCCGCCGGCCACCCACAGUCAGAGAGCACGCCGUCUCCUCUGUCGGCUCCCCGCAAGUCUAUGGGACGCCGCAUCUGUAGGGUGUGGUUUCCUUUCUUUUCCUCGCACGGUCGAUGCGGCGUGGAGAGAGGGAGAGCUCGCAUCGGGAAGGCAAGAGGAGUUUGCGUGUGGCGGUGGGAGCAGGCCGCGCGGCCGCGGCCGCCGGGUGGUGUGACUGAUUUGACGCAGCUGCGCUGCCCUGCACCGUCCCUUUGGGGUGUGUUUGGUUACUGGAUUGGACUGGGUCGGAACGGGUUCGACCUCUUUCAUCCCACGUUUGGUUGAAAAACGAUGUGGAACGGGUUCAACCCAGAUGGGAAUAUUCCCACUUGAUCCGGGUCGAGCGGAUUCCUCCAAAAUGGACGGACCGCACGGACCCAGAUGGAUGCCAUGCGGCUCCGUCUCGCGCUCGCCCGCGCGCCUCCCUCGGUCGCCGCCGGUGCGCGGGGAGGAGCCGGCAUCGCCGGGCGGGGAAGAGGCGGUGGUGGCGGGGAGGAGCUGGCAUCGCCGGGCGGGGGAGCAGGACGGCACACGGGUGGAGGCAGGGGCGUCGCCGGGCGGAGGCAGGGGCGGCGUGCGGAGGCCGGCUGGGGAGAGGGAGGGAGGGGCAGUGGCCGGCGGCCGGCGCAGGAGGAGGGAGGGAUGAGCGGCGCGCGGCCGGCGCAGGAGAGGGAGGAUGGCCAGCGCGGCGUGGGGAGCGGGGGCGGCGAAGGGGCGGCGCGGGGAGCGGGGGCCGCGAAGGGGCGGCGCGGGGGUAGCCGGUCCGAGGAGGAGGCGGCGCAGGGGAGGUGGGGGCCGGCGGUGCAGGGAGCCGCCGGCGGGGGCCGGCGCGCCGGUGGCCGGGAAGGAGAGAGGAGGAAGGAAGAUGGAAGGGAGGGGAAAAGGAAGAAGAGGCUGACAGGUGGGCCUCACGGCUGAUAGGUGGGGCCCAUAACUAACGGUGUUAAAAGGACAUCCAUCCCAACCCUCUCAACCUCCUCAACCAAACUAAAGACUGGGUUCAAUCCAUCCCUCUCCAUCUUUUUCAUCCAAACACGAGUUGGGUUUACUCCAACCCACAAAAGUGGGUUGGCUCCGAUCCGACCCACAUCGUUCCAAAACCAAACACACCCUUGCAGUUUCGGUACGUCCCAUCCCUCCUAAUCUCUCUUCGUUGCAGUGAAUAAUUGCUCAGCGCUACUCGCUCCUCUGCAGCAGCAGCAGCAGCCGGAGCCGUACCGGAUUUGCGAGUUGGAUGCAAAACAAGCAAACGGCCCGCAUGGAUCUGGGGGCGCCGAAAGGUUCGGGGCUGAUGGUCUUUUUAUCUCCUUGGAUUCUGGGUGAGCUCAUCAGUUUCUGACUGCAGUAAAAGAUUCUCUUGCCUGUCCCUGACCCUGAGUUGGAGUGGGGAGCGCCUAUCAAGGAGUUACCCAAAAUACCAACUUUCACACUAUAAAAAACAAGAUUCCCAUCAUAUCAAACUUACGGUACAUGCAUAGAGUACUGAAUGUAGAUGAAAUUAAAAAUUAAUUGCACAGUUUGGUUGUACUUUGCGAGAAGAAUCUUUUAAGCCUAAUUAGUCAAUAUUUGGAUAAUAAUUCACAAAUACAAACGAAACGCUACAGUAUGCUACAGUACUGACGCAGUGAUUUUAGCUGUACAAAAUCUGGCAACGCCCAAGUAUCUUUUUGACUAGUGUCUCCGCGACUCUUCGAGCCUUCUGCAAAACGGCAACAAUUUGAUUCUUUUUUUUUCCGACGAAAAGCAACAAUUUGAUUCUUUUAACAGCAAAAUCACACAAAAUAGAGUAUAAUGAAAUAGAAUCUCAACAAAGUCUGAAAGUAUCAACCGAGGCCAAAGCUUAAAAAUGCACGAGUUGAGCUUAGUGAUUGAUCUACACUUUUUGCGAUAUCACUUGUACAAACAUUUUGGCUAACCGGUUCAUCAUGGUUUCGUGUAAAGUGCUAAGCAACCUGGAUGAUAUUUAUCUGUUUCUUAUUUUGAGCGAGACCAUUUGAAGUUUUGAUACUGCAUUGUAGUGUGCAGCCAGUGUUAGCCAUAUUUCUAUAGGUGCUCUGGUUCGAUGGUCAAGCUUUUGGUAUGACGUGAUUGGGCACCGAUCCUCCAAAUUAAAUUUUGACUAUUUAUCUUAUCUUAUCUUAUCUUAUUCAUAAUUAUGAAUCCUUUGCAUUAUAAAAUAAAAAUGAUAGUUAAAUUAUCGGUUAAAGAUUGUAAAAUUUAAAUCUUGAGAUGCAUGCCAUAGUGUUCAUGAAUAGUGUCUAUGAUGCCACGUAAGCAAGAUAUCAUUUUAGAAACCACACUCUCCAACCCAAGGUUUCUUAGAAACCACACUCUCCAACCUAAGGUUUCUUGGUGUAGUUUUAUAAUAAAUUCAUCAUUUCUCCUCUCUACCAAUUAUAUUAUUUCUCCUCUCUACCAAUUAUAUUUGUUCUUCAUCUAUCAUGAAGAUACUAUACUCUCCCAAUGCAAAACUCGGUGGUGUCUAGUGCAUAGGUUCUCAUGUUGAAACCGGUGUUUUAGACCGGCAACCCGCCUAGGGGUACCCUAGGUGGUCUUUUGUGUGGCGGGUGUCGUCGAGAAUCAAGGAAUCGAUGGUGGCGCAAGGAACACGAUUUAGACAGGUUCAGGCCGCUAGAUCGCGUAAUACCCUAUGUUCUAUGUAUUGAUUGUAUUGAACUUCUUAGCUGUUGUUUAGAGGGGGUCCCUACCCGCCCUUAUAUAGUUGGCGGAGCAGGGUUACAGGAUGGAGUCCUAGUCGGACAUAGUUACAGAGUUCUACUCCUAAUGGUAGAGUAGUUUCCUUGUGUAUUCCGACUAGUAUUCAGGAGUCCGUGCAGGCUACGUUACCCUGCGGUGUAGCCACCCAUAUCCUGAUCAUGUCCGAGUAUGUCCCUGAGUGGGCCAUACAAGGCCUACUCAUGAGCCUGGGGAUGUAUGCAUGACAACCAGAUCUUGCAUGAGACCCAGUUUCUUCCUCUCUUUAUUCUCUUUCUUAUUUAAUACAGUGAUACAUGAGCUAAAUGUCCUAUGUGGCAUGAUAAUUAAUGUUAUGAAAACCAUCCUAAUUGGAGGGUUAGGAUUGCUCUUACAAACAAAAGUUGAGGUUGAGAGUCUAGCAUUAAAUGGAUGUGUAGAAAAUACUUCUAAGUUCUAUAUUAGUUCUAAGUGCCAUGUCAUUUAUUGAUCAUUGAGUCGACGAAUGAAACUAGAUCUCUCAGUACAAAGUUUCACUUCACAAUUUCAUAUGUUAGCAUAUUAUUUAAAUGUUUCAUCUAAAUGACCAAUGGGAGUUGAUGAGUGUGUAGAUGAAACACAAAUCCUCUCAGUGGAGUUUCAUUCCAGUUUCAUGCUCUUGGUAACUGUGUACACAAGUUUCAUCCUCAUGAAACUCUGUUCUUCUCUUCCAUCAUAAAUUACAUGCCAUGUCAUCACUUUUACCUAUAUGGCAUGCUAUUUAAUGAGAAUAAAACUCAUAUGACACUUGCAUUGAGAAUGGCCUUAGGCCAGUUCCAAGUUUCCAUCCCUCCAAUUAGGAUGGUUUCAUGGCAUUAAGAAUCAAAUGUUAGCAUUGGAUACCGUGUCAAGUUUGACCCGCUGUCUUACAUAUUAGGAUGGAGGGAGUAGUGGGCAAAGGCAUCUCUCUCUGAAUCUCAAAUGAGUUAAUUUGAUGGACUGUCCUAGCAAAGAGCCAAAUUUUUGGCUAGGUUUUCCUCAAAAACUCUUCUUACCCAUGGAGUACUCUUCAUUUUCAGACUGCACGAAAUGUCACCUCCAAGCUCUAGCUAAUGCGGCGAGAGGAGUGAUGCACAAAUGUUGUACUAAGUUACUACCACGCGGGCACUCGUGUAAUAUACAGGAGAGAAGUCGUGGCAGAAGUCUGGCAUGCAAAGAAGGUACCCUCGGCCCGGGCAGAUGUGCACACAAGAGGGUUGGUAUAACUUGCAUCGCAUGGAGCUAUGGCAGAAACAUUUUACGUCUCAAAAAAAAAGCUGAUAAGCUCAUUCACAGGUAAGCUUUGGUCCCAACAAUAUGUUAGGCACUGUCAAAUUUGUUUUCUCUAG
This 4578-nucleotide long non-coding RNA is filed under the name Setaria italica (foxtail millet). RNAcentral describes it as "long non-coding RNA (SITA_LNC000654)". Lineage: Eukaryota; Viridiplantae; Streptophyta; Magnoliopsida; Poales; Poaceae. The record is from RNAcentral.